Molecule: ribosomal RNA, 902 nt
Filed under: uncultured archaeon
Lineage: Archaea
Description: bacterial SSU rRNA
Rfam family: Archaeal small subunit ribosomal RNA (bases 1-798)
Source: RNAcentral
UAGGACGAGAACAACCCCGGGAAACUGGGGCUAACUCUUGAUAGGUGAAGAACUCUGGAAUGAGUCUUUGCCUAAAAAGAUUCACGUUAUCCUCGUGAACCUGCCUAAGGAUGAGGCCGCGACCGAUCAGGUUGUUGGCGAGGUAAUGGCUCACCAAGCCUUUUACCGGUGCGGGCCGUGGGAGCGGGAGCCCGGAGAUGGGUACUGAGACAAGGACCCAGGCCCUACGGGGCACAGCAGUCGCGAAACCUUUGCAAUACACGAAAGUGUGACAGGGCUAUCCCGAGUGCCAUCCGCUGAGGAAGGCUUUUACCCAGUCUAGAACGCUGGGGGAAUAAGGAGAGGGCAAGUCUGGUGUCAGCCGCCGCGGUAAUACCAGCUCUCCGAGUGGUGUGGAUGUUUAUUGGGCCUAAAGCAUCCGUAGCUGGCUAGGUAAGUCCCUUGUUAAAUCCACCGAAUUAAUCGUUGGAUCGCGGGGGAUACUGCUUGGCUAGGGGACGARAGAGGCAGACGGUAUUUUCGGGGUAGGGGUGAAAUCCUAUAAUCCCGGGAAGACCACCAGUGGCGAAGGCUGUCUGCUAGGACGCGCCCGACGGUGAGGGAUGAAAGCUGGGGGAGCGGACCGGAUUAGAUACCCGGGUAGUCCCAGCUGUAAACGAUGCAGACUAGGUGUUUGGACGGCCACGUGCCGUUCUAGUGCCGCAGGGAAGCUGUUAAGUCUGCCGCCUGGGGAGUACGAUCGCAAGAUUGAAACUUAAAGGAAUUGGCGGGGGAGCACACGGCUCAGUAACACGUAUAUAAGGAAUUGGCGGGGGAGCACACACGGCUCAGUAACACGUAUAGGAAUUGGCGGGGGAGCACAUACGGCUCAGUAACACGUAUAGGAAUUGGCGGGGGAGCAC